RNAcentral lists this ribosomal RNA (248 nucleotides) under uncultured bacterium. RNAcentral describes it as "partial 16S ribosomal RNA". It matches the Rfam family "Bacterial small subunit ribosomal RNA", at positions 523 to 769 of the family's 1533-position model. The record is from RNAcentral.
AUACGGAGGGUGCAAGCGUUGUUCGGAAUUAUUGGGCGUAAAGCGCGUGUAGGCGGUCUGUUAAGUCUGAUGUGAAAGCCCCGGGCUCAACCCGGGAAGUGCAUUGGAUACUGGCAGACUUGAGUACGGGAGAGGGAAGUGGAAUUCCGAGUGUAGGGGUGAAAUCCGUAGAUAUUCGGAGGAACACCGGUGGCGAAGGCGGCUUCCUGGACCGAUACUGACGCUGAGACGACGAAAGCGUGGGGAGC